RNAcentral lists this long non-coding RNA (7590 nucleotides) under Olea europaea subsp. europaea. The record is from RNAcentral. Lineage: Eukaryota; Viridiplantae; Streptophyta; Magnoliopsida; Lamiales; Oleaceae.
CUUUCUUUUUGUGCCAGCUUAGGUGAUGUAGAUUGAGUGGCCUAUAAUUUUAUUGAAAAGUAUGCGAGGAGGCUUGAGAAAUAGGAAUAUUAAUUUUUUUGUUAUUUCUUUAUUAUUUCUGUCAAAUUAAGUUUCAUUAUUAUGUCGUCAAAGUUUCUGUUAUUUAAUUAUUCUGUCUAUCACUAAUCUUAGGUAAGUUGUCUGUUUAGGGUUUACUUAGUUUACAUAUAUAUUUGUAGUGUUCUGUAGCCGCAGACAGUUUUCUGGAGUUAUUAUGUUAUCAAUAAAAACUCUCUGCAAGAGUUUUUUUUUUUUCCCGCAAUUCCUAGUCCCGAUUUCUAAGUUCGUGGAAGAUUUGUGAAUUUAUUGUGUGCAUAGAUUCUGCUUCUGUUCUUUCCGCUACAUUAGGUGGUAUCAGAGCUUUGCUGAUUUCUUUUCUUCCAUGGUGCGUAGAGGAAUUCGUGGUGGAAGGCAUGUACCAUUGGGUGAGGUGAACGAACGCGAUGAGGUGACACGUGAGGCACAACUGGAGGCACGAAUACUGCAACAGGUGGAUGAGCGAUUUGUUCAGAUGGGUCGCCGAUUUGAUGCCCUGACUGAACAACUGGCGGCUCUUAAUAUUGGAUAUCGUUGACGUCAAGUGCGAGAUGAUGAUCGCUUUGUUGGAGAAAGUGAUGAUGGGAGUGAUGGAGAAGAGGCUCAAAACCCGUUUGCUGAAUUGAGAGAAAGGAGAGCACGUCCUGUGGUUCAACAAAAUACCAGCAGGUGGGAGUCGGGUUUCAAACUGGACAUUUCAGAAUACCAUGGCUGCCUUCAACUUGAGGAGUUCCUGGAUUGGGUUGCUGCUGUGGAGGAAAUAUUGGAGUUCAAGGGGGUACUGGAUGAUCGAAGAGCUUUCUUAGUAGCCACAAGAUUUAGGGGAUGAGCCGCUGCUUGGUGGCAGCAAACUAAACAGACCCGAGUGUGCCGAGGUAAGCCGAAAAUCUGUAGUUGGGAGAAAUGUUUAAAACAUAUGAGGGCAGCAUUUUUACCCCAUAAUUAUGUGAGAAUUAUGUACCAACAACUUCAGAACCUUAGGCAAGGAACAAGAUCUGUAGUUGAAUAUACUACGGAAUUUUAUAAAUUGGUAGCAUGUGUGGACUUGGCUGAAUCUGAUGAUCAGUUAGUGCCAUGGUAUAUUGGAGGGAUGAGACUGCAAUUUCAAGAUUCCUUGAAUUUUUUCGACCCUGUGAACGUUUCUGAAGCCCAUCAGCGGGCUCUACACUUGGAGAAGACCUUAUCUCGGGGGACAUGGAGUGCUAGUGGAGUGAGCAUGGUGGUAGUACUGGAACAAAUCAAUCAGCUCUUCCAUGUACUGCAAUUACUCCGUCCUCACAGAAUAAAGGUGCAACUAAUGGCCAGUUGAGCAGGGGUGCAGCAUCGAGUUCCCAGGCACGAUGUUUUAAGUGUGGNAUGAAUCUGGAGGAGUAUGUGAGAGCUGUAGUUUGGGGAAAAUGCAUAGAGAGUCAUUUUCUAAUGAUGGUGCAUGGAGGGCAUCUGGAAAAUUGCAGCUUGUGCAUACUGAUAUUUGUGGUCCCAUGAAAACUCCAUCCUUGAGUCAUAAUUUGUAUUUUGUGCUAUUCAUUGAUGACUUUACAAGAAUGUGUUGGGUGUACUUCAUGAGAAACAAGUCAGAUGUGUUCAAUGUGUUCAAAAAAUUCAAGAAUAUGGUAGAGGCACAAUCUGGAUGUAAAAUUCAGACCUUGAGAUCGGAUAAUGGCAAGGAGUAUACAUCUACCAACUUCAAUCAAUUCUGUGAGGAUUAUGGAGUUCAUCGGCAGCUUACCAUUCCCUACACUCCGCAACAAAAUGGAGUGGCAGAAAGGAAAAAUAGAUCUGUCAUGGAGAUGGCCAGAUGUAUGCUAGCUGAGAAGGGACUUCCAAAUUCGUUUUGGGCAGAAGCAGUUUAUACUUCCGUUUAUUUGCAAAAUAGGUUGUCUACAAAAGCUGUGAAAAAUAUGACACCUAUUGAGGCAUGGUGUGGAAUGAAACCUACAGCCAAGCAUCUGAAAGUUUUUGGGUCUUUGUGCUAUGUUCAUGUCCCAGAUCAGAAAAGAAGCAAGUUGGAGCAAAAGGCUGUGAAGGGGAUCUUUAUUGGCUAUAGUUCACAGACAAAGGGCUAUAAAAUCUAUCUUCCAGAAACUGGAAAAGUUGUGAUAUCCCGUGAUGUAAAAUUUGAUGAAAGUUCUAAGUGGAAUUUUAAUGAAACCAAUACACAGCAACAGGUAGCAGUUUUUCCUCCUAUCCCAGUGGAAACUUCAACUCCAACACCAGAAGUUCAGUCUUCCGAGAUAGAAUCUAUCUCACCUACUGUAGAAAAUUCUGAAUCUUCAAGAUCUAGUUCGGCUCCUAGAGGAACCAGAUCUUUGAAUGAGAUUUAUCAGAGGUGUAAUAUGGCAGUGGUUGAACCCAGCAGUUAUGAAGAGGCACAACAACAUUCUGAAUGGGUUGAUGCAAUGGAAACUGAAAUGGAGAUGAUUCAUAAAAAUCAGACUUGGGAAUUGGUACCUCGUCCUGAUGAAAGAAAAGUGAUUGGAGUGAAGUGGAUUUACAAUGCAAAAAUGAAUCCAAAUGGCACAGUGAACAAAUACAAAGCAAGGUUAGUUGCUAGAGGAUUUGCACAAGAAAGUGGUGUUGAUUAUUUUGAGACCUUUGCACUGGUUGCAAGGUUUGACACCAUCAGAUUAUUGAUUGCACUAGCAGCACAAAAGAAGUGGAAGAUACAUCAGUUGGAUAUAAAAUUCGCAUUUCUCAAUGGUGAAUUGGAGGAGGAUGUUUUUGUUGAACAACCUGAAGGUUUCCAGUCUAGAAUCUAUCCUGAUCAUGUAUGCAAGCUGAAAAAGGCCUUGUAUGGUUUGAAACAGGCGCCAAGAGCUUGGUACAGCAAAAUAGAUGGUUAUCUAUGCGCUAAAGGAUUCAGGAGGAGUGAAAAUGAACAUAUUCUUUAUGUGAAGAGUGAUGAAAAUUCUGAUAUCUUGAUUCUAUCCAUGAAUGUGGAUGAUUUACUCAUCACAGGAAACAGUAAAAAGUAAAUUGAUUUGUUUGCUGAUAAAUUGAAGGAAGAAUUUGAGAUGACAAAUCUUGGAGAGAUGAAGUAUUUUUUGGGCAUUGAGGUUGAGCAAACAGAAAAUGGUAUUUUCAUUUCACAAAAGAAAUAUGCAAAUGAUAUCUUGAAGAGGUUCAAGAUGCAGCAGUGUAAACCAGUUGAUACACCAGUUGCGUUGAACACAAAAUUAUCCAAAGAAGAUGGAGACCAGCCAAUCAAUGAGAAGGAAUAUAGGAGUCUUGUUGGAAGUUUACUGUACUUGACAGCAACAAGACCAGAUUUGAUGUUUACGGCAAGCUUACUUUCUAGAUUCAUGAGUAAGCCAUCACAAACACAUUUUGGAGUUGCCAAAAGGGUCCUUAGGUAUAUCAAAGGAACAAUAAAUCAUGGCUUAUCUAUUUACACUUGGUUCAGGAGCAUUCUGUUGGAAUUCAAAGAAGCAAGAAGUAGUGGUACAAUCCAUAGCAGAAGCUGAAUAUAUUGCAGCAUCAUCAGCUGUAAAUCAUGCCGUUUGGUUGAGGAAAAUUCUUAAUGAUCUUGCGAAAAGUCAAGAUGAUCCUACAACUAUCAUGGUGGAUAAUCAAUCAGCCAUUGCUAUUGCAAAGAAUGCAGUUGAUCAUGGAAGAACCAAGCAUAUUAAAGUGAAGUUCCAUGCUAUCAGACAAGCUGAGAAAGAAGGAGAAGUUCAUCUUAAAAAUUGUCCAGGUGAAUCUCAAAUUGCAGAUAUGUUCACUAAAGCAUUGCCCAAAUCCAGGUUUGAAGACUUAAGAUUGAAGAUUGGAGUUUUACCCAAAAGCUUCAAGGAGGAGAAUGUUGAUUAUUAAAGACUUUUGGUUUUCUCCACAUGAUGAAAUAUGAAGAGUGUUAGAGAGGAAGAUGAAGAGUGUUGGAGAGGAAGAUGAAGAGAUGGAUGCAUUCACCAUCAUUAUUAGUCAUUAUUAUUCUUCGUAAUUGUGUGACUCUUAGUAGUCUUAUGCUAUCCUAUAAAUAGGUUUGUCAUGUACUCAAAUCAUAUAAUUCAUAUAUAUAAAAAAAAAAGUUUCUCUCAAAAUAUACUUUGUUCUGUUUUUAUUACUCAACUGAUCCGGUCUUAAUAGAAUCUAUCCUUAUUUCCGCUGCAUACUAAAAUCACAAUCAGAACAAACAAUAAAUAUAAAAUGUGAAAGAAAUAAUCAAAUUAGAUAAAGUACUAAAGUGGUGGGAAAUGUGACAUUUGUGUGGAACGUCAGGGGUUCGAAUCACUCCUCACGCAAAUAUUAAAAUGUCUUGAUUGGGCUUCCUUGACUAAAAUAAAUAUUUUUUUUCUUUAUUAUUUAAUGGGUAAAACUAGCCAGUAUUUUAUGACUGUUUGUUUUUGUAACAACCCACUAACUACCAUUAAAACACCCACUACUCAAUCAUUAAAAUUCUGCAUUAACAUGGUGAAGACUGUUACUACCAUCUUGCCUAUAUAAACCUAUAUAUCGUUUUGGGAAAAGACACACACAAAGCAAAUAGAAAAAUCAUCUUGCAUCAAUCACUCUUUUCAUAUUCUGAAUUUUUUAUAUUCGGAUUUUUAUAUCUAUUCUGGAGUACAAUUGAGAGUUCUAGAAAAACCAUUCGUGAUUGCUGCACAAGUGGUUUACGAUCGUUGUAUCCUGGGAGUGAUUGUCCACGGAGGUCACAACAAUUAUUGACGGGCAAUUUCACUUUAGGACAUCUUGCUGUCACGCGACUCGAUCGGACGAUAAGUUUUAUAUUUCUGCAUUAUAUUGUUCUGAUCACUACUGCAACUAAUUAUUUUUUCUAACAGCUUGAGAAAUAGGAAUAUUAAUUUUUCUGUUAUUUCUUUAUUAUGUCUGUCAAAUUAAGUUUCAUUAUUAUGUUGUCAAAGUUUCUGUUAUUUAAUUAUUCUGUCUAUCACUUAUUUUAGGUAAGUUGUCUGUUUAGGGUUUACUUAGUUUACAUAUAUAUUUGCAGUCUUCUGUAGCCGCAGACAGUUUUCUGCAGUUAUUAUGUUAUCAAUAAAAACUCUCUGCAGGAGUUGUUUUUGUUCCCGCAAUUCCUAGUCCCAAUUUCUAAGUUCGUGGAAGAGUUGUGAAUUUAUUGUGUGCAUAGAUUCUGCUUCUGUUCUUUCCGCUACAUUAGCUGGUAUCAGAGCUUUGCUGAUUUCUUUUCUUCCAUGGUGCGUAGAGGAAUUCGUGGUGGAAGGCAUGUACCAUUGGGUGAGGUGAACGAACGCGAUGAGGUGACAUGUGAGGCACAACUGGAGGCACGAAUACUGCAACAGGUGGAUGAGCGAUUUGUUCAGAUGGGUCGUCGAUUUGAUACCCUGACUGAACAACUGGCGGCUCUUAAUAUUGGAUAUCGUUGACGUUAAGUGCGAGAUGAUGAUCGCUUUGUUGGAGAAAGUGAUGAUCAGAGUGAUGGAGAAGAGGCUCAAAAACCCGUUUGCUGAAUUGAGAGAAAGGAGAGCACGUCCUAUGGUUCGACAAAAUACCAGGUGGGAGUCGGGUUUCAAACUGGACAUUUCAGAAUUCCAUGGCUGCCUUCAACUUGAGGAGUUCCUGGAUUGGGUUGCUGCUGUGGAGGAGAUAUUGGAGUUCAAGGGAGUACUGGAUGAUCAAAGAGCUUUCUUAGUAGCCAGAAGAUUUAGGGGAUGAGCCGCUGCUUGGUGGCAGCAAACUAAACAGACCCGAGUGCGCCGAGGUAAGCCGAAAAUCUGUAGUUGGGAGAAAUGUUUAAAACAUAUGAGGGCAGCAUUUUUACCCCAUAAUUAUGUGAGAAUUAUGUACCAACAACUUCAGAACCUUAGGCAAGGAACAAGAUCUGUAGAUGAAUAUACUACGGAAUUUUAUAAAUUGGUAGCAUGUGUGGACUUGGCUGAAUCUGAUGAUCAGUUAGUGCCAUGGUAUAUUGGAGGGAUGAGACUGCAAUUUCAAGAUUCCUUGAAUUUUUUCGACCCUGUGAACGUUUCUGAAGCUCAUCAGCGGGCUCUACACUUGGAGAAGACCUUAUCUCGGGGGACAUGGAGUGCUAGUGGAGUGAGCAUGGUGGUAGUACUGGAACAAAUCAAUCAGCUCUUCCAUGUACUGCAAUUACUCCGUCCUCACAGAAUAAAGGUGAAACUAAUGUCCAGUUGAGCAGGGGCGCAGCAUUGAGUUCCCAGGCACGAUGUUUUAAGUGUGGCGAGCAGGGUUACUGCAUGGUAGACUAAAAAAAAAGUGGUAAAUAUGGUAUGGGACUGUUCGUUAAUUCUGGAGAGUUAGCUGCUGGUAGCGUGGAAGAUGUCAAUCAGGAACCUAUUUAUGAUGUUGGGGAGGAGGAGUAUGAAGAGGAGCAGGUUGCAGGUGAUGAAGGUCCUUUGUUGGUAGUGAGGAGGACAUGUUUGGCACCUCGUAAGGAUGAAGGCGAUGAUUGGUUACGUCACAAUAUUUUCAAGUCGACUUGUACCAUUGGUGGCAAGGUUUGCAAGCUUAUCAUUGAUUUAGGUAGCUGUGUGAACGUGAUUUCUGAAGAGGCUGUUAAGAAGUUGGGAAUGGAGACGGAGAAGCAUCCUAGUCCUUACAAAUUGGCUUGGCUCAAGAAAAGGAGUGAGGUAACUAUUUCUAAACGUUGCUUAGUAUCAUUUUCUAUCGGUGCAAAGUAUAAGGACAAAAUUUGGUGUGACGUGAUAACCAUGGACGCAUGUCAUCUUUUAUUGGGUCGACCAUGGCAAUAUGAUAGGGGUGUUAUACAUGAUGGAAAGCAGAAUACAUACAGCUUUGUAUUUGACAAAGGGAAGGUUGUUUUACUACCUAAUAAGAGGGAAGAACCCUAACAUCCUUCGGGGAAGGGACAAAUUUUGUUGGCUAAGAGGGAGUUUGAGGUAGGGGACUUUGUAUGGGCUAUCCUGACGAAAGGCAGAUUUUCUGGUAGUGAUUAUAACAAACUUGCUGCUCGGAAAAUUGGACCGUUUGAAGUAAUUGAAAAGAUCAAUCCAAAUGCAUACAGGUUGAAGCUUCCAAGCCAUGUUGUGACCAGUAAUGUAUUUAACGUCAAGCACCUGGUUUCAUAUGUUGGUGAUUGGUCAAUAGAGGACUCGGAUUCGAGGGCGAAUUCUCUCCAACCCGAGGAGGAUGAUGUAGAUCGAGUGGCCUAUAAUUUUAUUGAGAAGUAUGAGAAGAGGCUUGAGAAACAGGAAUAUUAAUUUUUCUGUUAUUUCUUUAUUAUGUCUGUCAAAUUGAGUUUCGUUAUUAUGUUGUCUAAGUUUCUGUUAUUUAAUUAUUCUGUCUAUCACUUAUUUUAGGUAAGUUGUCUGUUUAGGGUUUACUUAGUUUUCAUAUAUAUUUGCAGUCUUCUGUAGCCGCAGACAGUUUUCUGGAGUUAUUAUGUUAUCAAUAAAAGCUCUCUGCAAGAGCUUUAUUUGUUCCUGCAAUUCCUAGUCCCGAUUUCUAGGUUUGUGGAAGACUUGUGAAUUUAUUGUGUGCACAGAUUCUGCUUCUGUUCUUUCCUCUGCAUCAUUAGGGAUGGUAGUUGGUUGCUAG